UCCGUGUCGCACCGCCGAUCUGUCACAGUGCUACUGCGUCACCAUCACGCCAGGGUGCUGCUGUUGAAGUCAUUCCUGCCGCCGCUGCUACUAGGGUUUGUCGCCGUUGAUGAAGCUUCAGCCGCCGCUGAGGAAGGGAGCUCGAACGCCGUCGCUGGGAAGGAGGAUUGGCCGUCACCGAACAGAACGCGACAAUACUGAGAGACAUCACCAUUGUUGACGCUGGAGCUCGACAAGGGCUGUAGCGCCGUCGCCAAACCACCGCGCCAACGUAGCUGUCUCCGGGAAAGUCGUUGGAGCUUGCUGAGGAUAUUGUUCUGGUUCUGAAGCAAUUCAUCCAUGUCAGUGCUCAUUUUUAUCCCCUGUUCUGCCUCUGCCUCUAGGUUCUGUGAGUUGCCGGAGCUCUCUGCCACCGGGAACCAACAUUCGAGCUGCCCAGGAAACCACCAUUAGAACCACUACUGUUUUGAGAUUAUUGUAAAUUACCUUGCCGCCGCCGUUAGUAGAGGUAGCUGCCGGCUCUAUUUGGAGACUGCUGCUAAGUCACCACCGAAGCUAAGAGCAUGUGCUGGGAUCUGAUGGGGCACCGCUGCUGCUGUGGAUUCGUAAUAUUGGGUUUACCGCGUUUAAAUUCUUCAAUUAUGACUAAUUUAGGAACAUGAAUGCUCACAACCCCCACAAACCUCCCUAAACCAAAGAUGCUCAACACUGAUUGAAAGAUAUGAAGAGGAGAUGAAGAAAUCAUGGGAAGAACAACAAACCUCUUCUAUGAAAGUGCUAUUAAAAUAAAUGUUGAGUGUAAAAGAGGAAGUGGAAGAACAAAAAAGUGAGGAGGACAAUCAAGGACGUCUAAACUCAAGUGAAGCAGAAAAUCACAUGAAGGAAAGGCUCAUGGAACAACCAAUUCAGAAGGCUCUGGAUGAAGAUAAAACUCCAAAAAUCACACAGCAACCAUGUCUUGACAUCCAAGAAGUGAAGGCAAUUAACAAAAGCACCAAGAAGAGGAUUGUGACCAAGAUACCAAGGACAACAUUCAAGAGAAGGUCAAUUGCAAACAAUCCUCCCGCUGAUCCAACAAGCAAGCUCAAUCAAGCCAAUUUCAAAAGGAAGCUUGCUGAGAAUAAACCAAGAAAGGGGACAAUAGUUGAAACCUUUCCCCCCUUUAGGUCAUUCUUCUUAACAAAUUGGAAGAAGAGGAAAAAAGUGAAGAACAGGUAGACAGUAGGUACAUUUCUUCUCCUUGCUUUGUUUAAAUUUCAAUAAAUUGACAUAUGAUUACAUUCUAAGUUUGGUGUUGCCAUGUAACACUUUGUUUUCAAUUCCUUUGAAUGAUUGCAUCAAUUUUACAUGGAAGUGACACACUAAGAUUCUAAGUUUGGUGUACCACUUAUUUUUCUAUGCAACUCAUUCAGCAACACCACUUGUCUGGAUAAUCAUAAUGCCCUUUUUGCAGUGAUAUUUUCUCUUUUUUUAGUUGGACAAUAUUAGUCUUCUCUUUGUUUUGGCCAUUUCCUUGUUUUAAUGCUUUCUGUUAUUAACUAUUUUUGUGAAUACAUCACAAAGAGAUCCUCGUUCAUCACAGAUUCUUGGCUUGGUGAUUGUAUUUAAUAUAUAACAGUUUCUUUUGUUUAGUUUUAGUUCAAUUAAAUUGAAUAUGGUUGAAUUCUAAGUUUGGUGUUGCUAUGCAACAAAAUUUGGUUCCAAUGUUUACUAGAUACUUGCAUCAAUUCCAAGUGAAAGUGUCACACUAAGUUUGGUGUGCCACUUAUCUUUUAUGCAAUGUAUCAUGCACACCCUCUUACUUUUGCAACCAUAAUGUUUCUGUUUCUCUGUGCCUUGAUUGUUAUCCUCAAUUUUGCUUGUUUGAAACACAUGUACCACUAACAUUUCAUUGUGUAAGACACUCAUGAUCUAUCUUAGUCCCAUCACCACUGUUCUAAUUGUUGCUUGAGGAUGAGCAAGCAUUCUGAGUUUGGUAUGGGAAGGAGAAGAAUAGGAGGAAAAUGACAACAAUAGAGAAGAUAAAUUACAAGGUUGUAAAGUUCCUUUUCCUCUCAUUUGUUUCCAACAUUUUAAUUUGCAUGAUUGUCUUUAACUUCUCUGUAUGCAUGUGUGGUAUGAAUAAGCAUAGUUUGAAUCUCGAUUUGUAACAUCUUGCUGUGACAUCAUGACUACCAACUUGAGUUUUGUAAAUUCCAAAGCAAUAAAUUAUCAUGAUCAUAAACAAACAAGGAAUUAAAGAAGAAUUUAGCAUGUGCAUACAAGUAUUGGAAGGCUAGUAGGAUUAAUUGUUGCUCAAUUGCAUUAGAUUUUACUUAAUUGAAGUUUUUCAUCUGGAACAUUUUGUGAAAUCUUUUGAAAUCAUGAAAACCUUGAAAAAAGCAAAAAAGAGCAAGAAAAGAAAAAGGGAAAGAAUGAGAAAGCUGAAGGCUCUGAGUACCAAUGGCAAUUUAUUUGUUAAGUACUUGUGGUGUUUAUGUAUCAAGUCAAAUGCUUGAAAACAAAACACUUAGAAGUCAAGGCUAGGCUCAAGUGCAAAAGCACUCCCUCAAAGCUCAAGGUUCUGAGCAUCAAUGAUUAGAGAGUCAAAGAAAAGAAAAAAAAAUGAGCUUAAUGAAAUCCUCUCAUUCAAAUGCUUGUUGUGUUUCUGUAUCAAGUGGUAAUACUUGAAAACAAAGCAUUUAGAAUCGUAGCUUUUUUAUUAACUCAUGGGGCAAAGCAUCCAAAAGGAGAAGCUAAUAAGAAAAAAAAAUCUAAAGCUUGUUUCAAGGAAGAAUUAUAACAAAAAGAUUUCAUAAAUUGAGCUAGAUAGAAGCAUCAAUCAUUUACAUUUCUUUUGUGAUUGUAGCAUGCAUAGAAAACUAGCUAACCAUGAACAUUGAGUUGCUAAUCUUCAUACCUUGGAUUGUCAAUCUUUAUUGCAUGAUUCUUUUCUUGUUUGGGGACAAGCAAGGUUUAAGUUUGGUGUUGUGAUGACAUGUCAUCAUGUCAUGUUUUUCUAUGCUCUUUCAUACAAGAAAUUUAUGAUUUGUGCUCAAAUAUUGCAUUCUUUUGUGCUUAAAUGGUACAUUUCUGGACUUUACUAUGAGUUUAUGUAUUUUUCUAUGAUUUCAGGUAUUUUCUGGCUGAAAUUGAGGGACCUAAGCAAAAAAUUUGAUUCAGAGGCUGAGAAAGGACUAAAGAUGCUGUUGGAUUCUGACCUCUCUGCACUCGAAGUGAAUUUUCUGGAGCUACAGAAGCUCAAUUAGCGCGCUUCCAAUUGCGUUGGAAAGUAGACAUCAUGGGCUUUUUAGCAAUGUAUAAUUGUCCAUACUUUGCUCAAGAUUUGAUGGUCCAAACUAGCGUCCAAAGGCCCACCCAAGACCCUUUUUUGGCGUAAAACGCCAAAACUGGCACCAAAGCAGAAGUUAAACGCCCAAACUGGCACCAAAACUAGCGUUUAAACUCCAAGAAGAGCCUAUGAACAUUAAAGCUUCAAUGCUCAGCCAAAACACACACCAAGUGGGCAUCGGAAGUGGAUUUCUGCACUAUCUACACUUAGUUACUCAUUUUUUGUAAACCUAGUUUACUAGUUUAGUAUAAAUAGCACUUUUUACUAUUGUAUUCACAUCUUUAGAUCAUUUUUGAGACUAUCUUUGGAUCAUUUUUGAUCUCUUGAUCACGUUUUGGGGGCUGGCCAUUCGGCCAUGCCUAGACCUUCAUCACUUAUGUAUUUUCAACGUUGGAGUUUCUACAUCUCAUAAAUUAAGGUGUGGAACUCUGCUGUUCCUCAUGAAUUAAUGCAAAGUACUAUUGUUUUUCUAUUCAA
Molecule: long non-coding RNA, 3808 nt
Organism: Arachis duranensis
Lineage: Eukaryota; Viridiplantae; Streptophyta; Magnoliopsida; Fabales; Fabaceae
Exons: 3
Source: RefSeq, a predicted model, not a curated record